Gossypium hirsutum (cotton) is the source of this 186-nucleotide non-coding RNA. The record is from Rfam. NCBI's taxonomy places the organism in Eukaryota, Viridiplantae, Streptophyta, Magnoliopsida, Malvales, Malvaceae.
AAUAAUCAAAUAUAACACUUGGGUUAAGAGUCAAGUUGGUAAUUUCUUUUAUAUCUCCCCCUCUCGAUACCCAAUAAUCAUAUACACCCCCAAAAUAAAGAGCCUUGAAUAUUAGAAGAAAGCACUUAUACUGAACAAAAUUAGGUGAAUACCCAAAAUUGUGAUCAUUUUAUUUCUAUCUUUCCA